Molecule: ribosomal RNA, 84 nt
Filed under: Pseudomonas syringae pv. actinidiae
Lineage: Bacteria; Pseudomonadati; Pseudomonadota; Gammaproteobacteria; Pseudomonadales; Pseudomonadaceae
Source: RNAcentral
CUUGACGACCAUAGAACAUUGGAACCACCUGAUCCCAUCCCGAACUCAGCAGUGAAACGAUGUAUCGCCGAUGGUAGUGUGGGG